Molecule: ribosomal RNA, 492 nt
Filed under: uncultured bacterium
Lineage: Bacteria
Description: partial 16S ribosomal RNA
Rfam family: Bacterial small subunit ribosomal RNA
Source: RNAcentral
GGCGAACGCUGGCGGCAUGCUUAACACAUGCAAGUCGAACGGCAGCACAGUAAUAGCUUGCUCUUACGGGUGGCGAGUGGCGGGCGGGAGACGAAUACAUCGGAAUCUACUUUUUCGUAGGGCUUAACGUAGGGGAACUUACGCUAAUACCGCAUACGACCUACGGGUGAAAGCAGGGGAUCUUCGGACCUUGCGCGAUUGAAUGAGCCGAUGUCGGAUUAGCUAGUUGGCGGGGUAAAGGCCCACCCAGGCGACGAUCCGUAGCUGGUCUGAGAGGAGGAUCAGCGACACUGGAAGUGAGACACGGUCAAGACUCCUACGGGAGGCAGCAGUGGGGAAUAGUGGACAAUGGGGGGAAGCAUGAUCCAGCCAUACCGCGUGGGUGAAGGAGGCCUUCGGGUUGGAAAGACGUUUUGUUGGGAAAGAAAAGCAGCAGGUUGAUACGCCGCUGUUCUGACGGUACCCAAAGAAUAAGCACCGGCUAACUACGUG